GUGGGGAAUAUUGGACAAUGGGGGCAACCCUGAUCCAGCCAUGCCGCGUGAGUGAUGAAGGCCUUAGGGUUGUAAAGCUCUUUUACCUGGGAAGAUAAUGACUGUACCAGGAGAAUAAGCCCCGGCUAACUUCGUGCCAGCAGCCGCGGUAAUACGAAGGGGGCUAGCGUUGUUCGGAAUCACUGGGCGUAAAGCGCAUGUAGGCGGCUAUUCAAGUCGGGGGUGAAAUCCUGAGGCUCAACCUCAGAACUGCCUUCGAUACUGUUUAGCUCGAGUGUGGAAGAGGUUGGUGGAACUGCGAGUGUAGAGGUGAAAUUCGUAGAUAUUCGCAAGAACACCAGUGGCGAAGGCGGCCAACUGGUCCAUUACUGACGCUGAGAUGCGAAAGCGUGGGGAGCAAACAGGAUUAGAUACCCGUGUAGUCC
This 425-nucleotide ribosomal RNA is filed under the name uncultured bacterium. RNAcentral describes it as "bacterial SSU rRNA". It matches the Rfam family "Bacterial small subunit ribosomal RNA", at positions 354 to 796 of the family's 1533-position model. The record is from RNAcentral.